UGGGGAAUUUUGGACAAUGGGCGAAAGCCUGAUCCAGCAAUGCCGCGUGUGUGAAGAAGGCCUUCGGGUUGUAAAGCACUUUUGUCCGGAAAGAAAUCCUUGGCUCUAAUACAGUCGGGGGAUGACGGUACCGGAAGAAUAAGCACCGGCUAACUACGUGCCAGCAGCCGCGGUAAUACGUAGGGUGCAAGCGUUAAUCGGAAUUACUGGGCGUAAAGCGUGCGCAGGCGGUUUGCUAAGACCGAUGUGAAAUCCCGGCCGUCACUAGGCACUGGCAUGGUGAUGCUGGGCAGGCUAGAGUAUGGCAGAGGGGGGUAGAAUUCCACGUGUAGCAGUGAAAUGCGUAGAGAUGUGGAGGAAUACCGAUGGCGAAGGCAGCCCCCUGGGCCAAUACUGACGCUCAUGCACGAAAGCGUGGGGAGCAAACAGGAUUAGAUACCCUGGUAGUCCACGCCCUAAACGAUGUCAACUAGUUGUUGGGGGAUUCAUUUCCUUAGUAACGUAGCUAACGCGUGAAGUUGACCGCCUGGGGAGUACGGUCGCAAGAUUAAAACUCAAAUGAAUUGACGGGGUCAUAGCUGUUUCCU
This 587-nucleotide ribosomal RNA is filed under the name uncultured bacterium. RNAcentral describes it as "partial 16S ribosomal RNA". It matches the Rfam family "Bacterial small subunit ribosomal RNA", at positions 355 to 1375 of the family's 1533-position model. The record is from RNAcentral.